UUGGGUGGAGGAUUGCGAUGGGUCUGCUGGCGGCGGCGGUUUUGGGUGGAAGAUUGCGAUGGGUCUGCUGGCGGUGGCGUAUGUGUGUGUGGUAGUGAUGGUUAUGACGGCGUUUUUUGGAUGUUGGGUUGGUGGGAGUGUGGCAGAAGAGCAUUAAGGCUUAAUCGACUAUGUUCAGUAGUCGAUUAAGGUUAAUCAACUAUGUUCAGUAGUCGAUUAAGGUUUAAUCGACUAUGUUCAGUAGUCGAUUAAGGUUAACCGACUCUAGUUGUUAUUUUUUUUUUUUUUGAUUUUUUGUUUAUUGAUUUCAAUGUAUAAAUCAAUUACAAUAUUUGUAUAUUUUUUUUAAAUAUAACUGUUUUUUUUGUAAUUGUGAUUUGUUAUUUUUAAUGGUUAAAUUUUUAAUCGACUAUCCAUUAAUAAACCUGAUAGAGAAAAAAAUUAAAAAAAUCAAAAAAAAAUUAAAAACAAAAUUAGAAAUAAAAAAUAUUAAAAAAUAAAGAAUUUUCUUAAUUGACUAUGAAGCAUAGUCGAUUUAAGACUAAUCGACUAUGCGUCAUAGUCGAUUAAAAAAAUGGAAAAAAAAAAUAAAAAUUUCGCGGAGCGCGUGGCCCAAUGAUGAGGUGGCGGGCGGGGGUAAAGCUGGAAACAUAAUGGCUGAAAUUGGAACAUGGGCUUUUCUCAAAUGAUCUAAAAUAUUUUGGGCCUAUCCCCAUUAAAAAAAGUAAUGGGGGUUAUGUCAAAGAGCCCCUACCAUAAAACUAAAUUAUUUCAUGUUUAUUUAAAUCGAUCAAGUCUGGUUCUGACGAUAGGCAAAGUAUGCUUAGGGCUUCCAAUUUAUUUAAUUAAAUUUAUAAUAUAUAGUUAUUGGAAACUCUAGUUCUUAAAUAGAAGACGUUAAAUCAACGAUUGUUACAUAUUUUAAGAAAUUUUCAAAUCGUUGGGGCCUGAUUUGAAUUUAUUUGAAUUCCUAAUAUACAAAUCCAAAUUUUUUAAUUAGUGUUUGAUAGAAAUUUUCAUUGUAAUCUGGAAGAAAAAAAUGAUUUCACUAAUUUUGAUAAGUAAUUUUAAAGUUCACAUGAUACAAUCCUAACAAGCUCAAAGAUGAAGAAUUGGAAGAAGCGCAAGCGUACGAGUUUAAAGAGGCUAUUCAAGUUUUCCUUGGAGAAAAAAGCCUUGAAUCGACUAUUUGAGAUGUCAAUGGUUUGGAAUUGGAAGAAAAGAAAGAGAAGAAUUCGUUGGACAAGUCAAAUUCCAUGUAUUAUUCUGGCAGAGUUUACCAUUCUAGUUAUAAUUCUCGCAUCUAACGUCCAUUUAAACUGAUUCAAAAUGAUUCGAAGAGAUAACUGAAAGAUCUACAACUUUUAUGUUUUGAGCGAAGAGAUAUUCGAAUUGGAACAGUGUCGAAAUUGAGCUUUAAGUGCAUGCCCGUGCACAAUCCAAUGGCUACGCAAGUUUAGAAGGGUGAUCGAAAAGUCGACUUGAAGAUCAAGUUACUUAAUUUAAUUAUGCAUGUUUUUAAUUUAGGAUUUAUUAUGUUUUUAUUAUUUUAGAUUCUUUUAUGGUUAGGAUUUGCUUAUUUAUAAGUUUCCUUAUUAUAUAUUAGGUAGGAGUCCUUGUCCUUGUGAAAAAUGAGUGUUUUUAGAUCUUAUAAAUAUGUUGCCAAUUUAGCUUAUUUUAUUGGACGAAUUUUAAUGAAUAUUUGAGUAUUUUGAGAGAUCAAUUCUCCUUCGCUGUUUUUACAAGUAGAUUCUUGUAAUUUUCUUAGCGCCAUAAUAUUGGUUUCUAGUUCUUUAUAACCACGGGGUCAAUAUUCCAUCUUGAUAAUAAUGGUUUCUAGCUCUUUAUAGCUAUGUGGUCAUUAUUCCUUGCUUCCGCCAAUCUGAAUCCUCGUUUCUUUGGAUGUUUCGAUCUUGCUUCCGCGUAACGUAUUUGGGUCCUGUAACAAGUUCUACGGUCAGUUGGUAUCAGUGCCAACAUCCAAAACAGGUUUUACCUAUCUUUAUUUUUUGUUGUGUCUUCUAGUAUAUCUCAUCUUUUCUUGUGUUGUGUUAUUUAGAGUUUUCGUCAAAAAAAAAUACAAAAAAAAUUCGAAUUUUUAUUUUUUGUUUAGAUUUCUUUCCAGCCAAGUUAGGAUUUGUUCGUGUAAAAAAAAAAGACAAAAAAGUAAAAUAAAUAAAUAAAAAAUAAAAAUCAAAUUCGAUUUUUUUUUUAGUUUUUUGAGUUCUUAGAGUCUAAGUUAGGUUUUGUUAGUGUCAUUAAAAAUAAAAAAGGAAAAAAAAAAUUGCUUUGAUCAUUCCGAGAAGGCCGGUUAUAAAGAAUGAAGAAUUGGGCAGCGUAGGAUGUCGCCAAUGGAUAAACGCUUCUAGGAACUCCAAGAUCAGAUGGAAGGAAUUGUUACCUAAGUUCUACGGUUGGUGAACAUCACGCCGUACGUAUGGCCCUCGAACAUGUUGAUCUCUGCGUAGUUCCUUUAGUUGGGUAACAAUUAGAUAUUUUGGAGAAAAAAUUGUAAAUACCGAAAUUUGCUACGUAAAAUUGACUGAAAAUGGUAAAAUAUAUAGUGGGAAAUGGCUCAAACUCUCUCUCUCUCUCUCUCUCUCUCUCUCUCUCUCUCUCUCUCUCUCUCUCUCUAAAUAUAUAUAUAAAUAUAUAUAUAUAUAUAUAUAUAUAUAUAUAUAUAUAUAUAUAUAUAUAUAUAUAUAUACUUGAGUAGGGGUACUAUCGUCAUAUAUUGGAAAAAAUGUAAGGUGAUGGGGAUUUUUGUAUUUAUGUGUAGUACAUGGGGUAUAUGAUACAAAGUUUAUAGUACAUGGGUGUUUUUGUUUUUAACCCUAAUAAUUAAUAAUAUAUAACACAAUUUCCAAACAAUUAAUACACGCACACCAUUAACGUGUAACAAGACGAUACUAAGAGUCCGUUUGGCUAAGCUUAUUUAAAACAUCUGAUAAGAUGUUUUAGGAGCUGAUAAGCUCUUAGGUCUUAUUUUAAUUUUUUUUAAGGUGUUUGGAUAUGUAGAUUAUAAGUUAAUAUUAGUUCUUAGAAGUUGUUUGGGUAUUUGGAAAUAAAAGGUCAGUUUAUCGCUAUAAUGACAAAAAAGUACAUGACACCAUUAUAACUGUUGAAGUUAUUUGACUCAAAUACUUUUAUUCCUAAAAUAUUAUUAUAAUAUUUAUAAAUUAAUUUGACAUAUAAAAAUAAUAAUAUAAAAUUAAUAUAUUAAUAUAAAAUAAAGGUUGUAAAAUAAAUGUAAUUUUUUUAUAGAUAAAAUAUAUAUAAUUUAUUAUUGAGAUAAUAAGAAUAUUCGUGUGUUUUAUAUACAUAUAAAAUAUAAAUAGAGACCAAUUUUUUCUUACAAUUAUUUCGAUAAUUAUAUUUUAACUAAUUAUUAAUCUUGAUUACAAGAAUACAUUGUUUUGAUAAAAUAUAAAUGUUAUUAGUAUUUGUGUAAUAUAAUAAAGUAUUUGAGGGAAAUUUUAUAUUUUGAGUGUUUUAAUAAAUAAUCAAAUAAGAUCUUAAAGAAAAAAGGUGGGGUGGAUGUACUUUCCUAAAAAUAUCUUAUAAGUUCACUAACAGUUUAUUUUUGGAAAAAAUAAGAUCUUUUCUAAUUUUUUUACCAAACUCUUUUAAAGAGCUUAUAAGCUCUUAAACAUCUUAUAUAUAUAAGACGUUUUUAGGAGCUUAUAAGCUUAGCCAAACAGGCUCUUAUAGAAAUUGAAUUUUUUUUUAUAACUGAUAUUAUAAAUUACAAGCAUUUUUUAGAAUUCAGACCCACGACUACCAAAUAUAGUAACAAAAAAAUAUAAAUGAGACUGAAUUAAAUUGAUUUUUAAUAAAAAAAUAAGUUAUGAUUAAUAAUAUAAUAUAUCUUAUAUAUAAAAGAAAGAAAUGCAAGGACAACAUGAAGAAACCCUAAUUGCAUUUCUUUAAUUUUUUAUUUUUAAUAUUUUUUAUGUACUAAUUUUCUAGCUAUAUAUAAAAGAAAGAAACGCUGGGACAACCCUAAAAAACCCUAAUUGCAUUUCUUUAAUUAUUUAUUUUUAAUAUUUUUUAUGUACUAAUUUUCUAGCUAUAUUUUUCAUAAAUUAUCAAAAUUGACACAGAACAGUAAAGAAUCCCUCCAAUGUCAAUCUUCUAUUUUUUCAUCAAUAUAUCUCAAAUCUUAAGAGAUAAAGAUAGAAAUUCGAUUUGUCAAAUCUUAACCCAAUUUGUUUGGAUUAUAAAUCUUACUGCAUAAAAAAAUGAGUAAACUGCAAAAAAUACCCCUGUGUAAUUUGCAAAUAGCAAAAACCCCCUGUGACAAAUAAACUAGCAAAAACUCUCCUGUGAAAUUUAGUCAAAGGCAAACCCGUAGUAGGUUUUUGGACGUGAAAUGACGAAAUUGUCCCUAAAAUGUAUUUAUAUGUAUAUAUAUUUUCCUUUUAAUUUGAUUUUUUAGAAAUUAAUAUAUUGUUAAAAAAUAAGAAAUAACUAAAUUUAAAAAUUAUUAAAAAUUUGUUAAUCAAAUUAAGUAUAGAUUUUUUUAAAUAUACAAUAACGGAAUUUAAAUAUUUUUUUGAUGUAGCGAUAAUUUAAAAUAUAUACAAAAACUAUGUGAUAAUAAAAAAAAAAUUAAAGACCCCAUUGUACAUUUAAAAUUAAGAUAUAACAAAAAUAAAAUAAUUAAAAUAUUUAAAAAAUAUAAGAAUUUAUUAAUUGCAGAAUACCAGGGGUAUUUGUGUCUUUUUAUAUGAAGUCAACACUCAAAUGAUAAAUGUGCCAAGUGUACUAUUUAGAGAUUACAAAUGAGUACUUUUUGCAGUUUACUCCGUAUAAAAACUAAUGUUAUAUAAACUAGGGUUAAAUACCAAAACACCCCCGUACUAUGGUCUUUGUAUCAUAUACCCCCUGUACUACGCAUAAAUACAAAAACCCCCCUCACAUUACAUUUUUUUCCAAAAUAUGACGAAAAUACCCCUACUCAAGCAAAUAUAUAUAUUAUCAUUUUCAGUCAAUUUUACGUGGAAAUUUUUGGUACUUAUAUUUUUUUAUCUCCAAAACAUCUAAUUCUUAGAAUUUUUUAAUUUUCGGAAUAAAACCUUUUAUUUUUGUCAUUUUGAGUUUCUUCAUUUUUUUUUCUUAAAUUUCUUCUGGUAGUUCAAACAUCCUAAGAUUACAAACAUCUUUACAGUCAUAUUAUUGUUGAGAAUAUGAACUACUGAAAGACAUCAAAGAAAAAAAAAAAGAAAUUCAAAAUGACAAAAAUAAAAGGUUUUGUUCAGAAAAUAACAAAAAUAUCUAAGUAAUUAAAUGUUUUGAAGAAAAAAAUUAAAAUAUCAAAUUUUCCAAGUAAAAUUGAUCAAAAAUGUCAAAAAAUAUAGUGGAAAAUGGAUCAAACAAACCUUUUAUUUAUAGGCAUAGUAGGGGUAUUUUCGUCAGAUUUUGAAAAAAAUAUAACAACAUGGGGGUUUUCGUAUUUAUGUGUAGUACAUGGGGGUAAAUGAUACAAAGUCUAUAGUACAGGGGUGUUUUGUAUUUAACCCUAUAAAAUAUGAAUAGUACUACUUUCUUAAAUUUUACUAUGAUAGUGUAUUAUAUUUAUUUUAUUAUGUAUUAAAUUGAUCAUUUUUUUCACUUUUAAAAUACGAUCCCCGGGAAAAAAAUUGCUAGUUAGUAAAUAAUUGAAUAGUAAUAUAACGAGGGUUUAUUGUAUUUACCGUUGUUCAAAUGAUAUAUGUAAUUUUGGAUAAUGAAAGCCCAAGGAUAGGAUAUCCAAGGAUUUAUGUAUUUUCACUUUUGGGAUAAUGAAAGCACAAGGAUAGGAUAUCCAACCCCAAGCACAAAAGCCUUGACCAAUUGCACUGAGCUCAACCCAAUAAAAUGUUGACAAAUAGGUAUGAGAAUUUGACCUGCUCUGAUGGAUCCUCGUCUCACUUUGAUUUGAAAUAGCGGGUACUAUUAGACUUAAAAAAAUGUGGGGCACGGGGUGGGCUUGAUAUUGUUGUAGAAUAAAUUAUAUAAUAUAAGAACUGCACUAUUAUAAUAUAUGGGAAGGGAAUAGUGAAUGACCGAGAAAUCUGCUAUUGAAAUGUAAAAUGGAAUUACAGAAUAUAAAUACGAGAGGUGAGAGAUUUCUUUUCUAAUCAAAGUUAUGUAUUCAAUUAGGAAAAAUGGCCCUAUUUAUACAAAAAUGGGAAAAGCCUUGUCAUGCUAAACUAUUAACACGUAGCAGACUUGCACUCCAAGUAGUAGCAAGCCUUAUCAAACAAUUACUAGAUAUAUAUUACAAAACUUAGUCACUAAGUAAUUAAAUAAUUAUUACAAUACUCCCCCUUGACUAAGUAUGUUGUUGUCGCGUCGGCUGUAAAAUUGGAUGAGUGAAAUAUAUGUAUGCCUCGUUAAAAACCUCAAGCCGGAAAACCCUGUGGGACAAAACCGGUCAGAAGGGAAAAAGAGUGCAUAACUCAAUCCAAGCCACGUGCAUAAGCUGUCUCGUUAAAAACCUUUGCUGGAAAACCCAAUGGGACCAAAACCAGUCAUAAGGGAAAAAGAGUGCAGCGCACCAUUGCUCCCCCUGAAAUGAGCAGUAUAUAUAGCUUCCGAAAUGGGCCGUCAACCUUGCUUCAUAUUGGUUCUUCUCAUUCCAACGGCGUAUACCAACUUCUCAAAAGUAGAAGUCGGUAAGGACUUUGUAAAUAAAUCAGCAAGAUUGUCGCAUGAGCGAACUUGUCGAACAUCGAUCUCUCCAUUCUUCUGAAGCUCAUGUGUGUGGAAGAACUUUGGUGAUAUAUGUUUGGUCCUAUCACCUUUUAUGUAUCCGCCCCUUGUUUGCGCUAUACAAGCAGCAUUGUCUUCGUAAAUGACUGUGGGCGUGUCUGUAACUGGAUGUAAUUGGCAGGAAUUUCGUAUAUGGGAAAUAACGGAUCGUAGCCAAACACAUUCUCUCCCUGCUUCAUAAAGGGCUAUUAUUUCUGAAUGAUUUGAGGAGGUGGCCACCAAUGUCUGUUUGGUAGAUCGCCAAGAUAUACCUGCACCAUUAUAACAAAACAAAUACCCAGUUUGUGAGCGAGCUUUAUGGGGAUCAGAUCUAUAUCCCGCAUCGGCAUAACCAAUUAACCCUUGGUUAGUUGCAUUCUUUGAAUAAAAUAAUCCCAAAUCUGCAGUACCACGGAGAUAUCUAAAAAUAUGUUUAACACCAUUCCAGUGUCUCCGGGUAGGCUCAGAACUGUAUCGCGCAAGCACAUUUACCGCAAAAGCGAUAUCAGGUCGAGUGCAUUGUGCUAAAUACAUUAACGCUCCGAUAGCAUUUAGAUACGGCACUUCAGGGCCAAGUAUUUCUUCAUUAAAUUCCUUAGGUCGGAACGGAUCCUUUUCAGGAUCUAAAUUGCGCACAACCAUAGGGGUGCUCAAUGAAUUGGAAUUUUCCAUAUUAAACUUUCUGAGCACUCGUUUAGUAUAUGCAGAUUGGUGUAUAAGUAUGCCGUUAUUUUUAUGCUCAAGCUCAAUACCAAGACAGAGUUUGGUUUUUCCAAGGUCCUUGACCUCAAACUCUUUCUUUAAAUAUUCAGCAGCAUUGGCCAACUCUUCAGGAGUGCCAAUGAGGUUCAUGUCAUCUACAUAAACCGCAAUAAUAGCAAAUCCGGUUUCUCAUCUUUUAAUAAAAACGCAUGGGCAAAUAGGAUCAUUUUUAUAACCUUCCCUGAUAAGGUAUUCACUCAAUCUAUGAUACCACAUGCGACCGGAUUGCUUUAGACCAUACAAUGAUCUCUGUAAUUUGAUUGAGUGCAGCUCACGAGGAGCGCCAGAGUUUGGCAUUUUAAAUCCAUCGGGAAUUUUCAUAUAAAUAUCAGAAUCUAGGGAACCAUAUAGAUAGGCCGUUACAACGUCCAUUAGACGCAGGUCCAGUCCCUCUUGGACGACCAUAUUGAUAAGAAAACGGAAAGUGAUCGUAUCCAUCACUGGUGAAUACGUCUCAUCAUAAUCAAUCCUAGGCCGCUGGGAGAAACCUUGAGCUACAAGGCGGGCUUUAUAUCUUACAAUUUCAUUGUUCUCGUUCCUCUUACGGACAAAUACCCAUUUAUACCCAACGGGCUUUACAUUAUCCAGAGUUUGAACGAUUUGCCCAAAUACUUUCCGUUUUUCUAGGGAAGCCAAUUCACAUUUUAUUGCUUCCUCCCAUUUAGGCCAAUCAUUUCUUUGGCGGCAUUCCAUUAUGGAACGCGGUUCACUAUCAUAAUCAUCGUACAUUAUUUCUUGUGCAACCGAGAAUGCAAAAAUAUUAUCGAUGAUUAUCUCAUUUCUAUCCCAUAUUUCAUUGCAAAAACUUAUGGGAUUCUCGGUAUUCCCGGGAUUUGAUAUCGCUUUUUUCUAUAUCAGGCUCAACAGAUUCAUUUGGAGCAUUCUCACUAGGAACCACUUGGUUCGAAGGUUCAUCAAUUUUCCCCUUUCUUUUUCUAGGAACAACGUCCUUUGAUCCAAUUGGUCUACCUCGUUUUUGUCGUGGGGGAUCAUCAUUCAUUUUCACAUGUUCUUCAGGAACAGCGAUCCUAGCUGGAACAUUCACAGCUGGAAUAUAAGACUUCGUAACUUUACUGACAUCAUUAAAUGCAUCAGGAAUUCUAUUGGCAAUAUUUUGUAAAUGAAUGAUUCUAUGGAUCUCAUUUUCACAUUCAGAGGUACGUGGGUCGAGAUGAGAUAAAUGUUGCUCACACCAAGUGAGAUUCUCGAUUGGUUUUUGUUUAUCAUUAUCACGGAUAUUCUGAAUAUCCUUACCAAUCGGUAUAAAUAAUGUCUCAUCAAAAUGACAAUCCGCAAAUCUAGCGGUAAAUAAAUCACCUGUCAUUGGUUCCAAGAACCUAAUAAUCGACGGUGAAUCAAACCCAACGUAUAUGCCAAGUCGGCGUUGGGGACCCAUUUUAGUCCUCUGAGAAGGAGGAAUUGGCACAUGCACAGCGCAACCAAAUGUGCGAAGGUGCGAAAUAUCGGGCUCAAAGCCUAAUGCCAAUUGCAUUGGGGAAUGCAUAUGAUAAGCAGUUGGGCGUAAUUUAAUCAGUGCUGAUGCAUGCAAUACUGCAUGGCCCCAUGCUGCACUAGUGAGUUUAGAUCUCAUCAGCAAAGUACGAGCAAUUAUUUGGACGCGUUUAAUCAAAGAUUCCGCCAGUCCAUUUUGAGUGUGAACGUACGCUACUGGGUGCUCGACAUUUAUUCCCAGUGCUGCACAAUACUCAUCAAAAGUUUUUGAUGUAAAUUCUACGGCAUUAUCCAUCCUUAUAUUUUUGAUGGGAUAAUCAGGGAAAUGUGCUCGGAGUUUAAUAAUUUGUGCUAGCAAACGCGCAAAUGCAACAUUUCGCGUAGAUAAUAAGCAUACGUGGGACCAUCUACAAGAUGCGUCCACCAAAACCAUAAAAUAUCUAAAUGGCCCACUUGCAGGGUGUAUUGGUCCACAAAUAUCACCAUGAAUACGUUGUAAAAACGAUGGUGAUUCAUAACCGACCUUUUCAAUGGAAGGUUUUAUAAUGAGCUUUCCUUGUGAACAUGAUUCACAGAAAUAUUCAUUGGACAUCAAGAUUUUUGUAUCUUUUAAUGGAUGUCCUUUAGUAUGUUGUGCAAUCCUACGCAUCAUAGUCGUUCCUGGGUGACCCAGUCGAUCAUGCCAUAACCCGUGUAUAUCAGGAUUAACAAGUUUCCAUGGCAUAGUGGCGUAGGAUUCGAAAGCUCGAAUUUGGACACAAUACAGUCCAGAAGCUGUCGCUUCGAACUUCUCAUGAACAAUUCUUUUGUCCAUGACAUAUGAUGUGACGCAUAGACACUCCACAGUAUUUUCAACCAGUGUCUCUAAAUGAUACCCAUUGCGUCUCACAUCUUUAAAACUCAGUAGAUUCUUGUUCGAUCUACCGGAUAUCAGUGCAUUUUCAAUAUGCAAAGUGGUACCAUUAGGCAACACAAUUGUUGCGUUCCCGGAGCCAUCUAUUAUUUCCGCGGAACCUGCUAUGGUUUUAACUUGUGCCUUGCACAAAGUCACACUCGAGAAAUAUAUUUUAUUAUUGAAUAUUGAGUGUGUAGUUGCACUAUCGAGUAGGCAAUAAUCAUAUUUGUCCAUAUUUUUCAUGUACGUGUAUCAAAAUCAGCUCGACCUCGGGUAUUUAUCCUCCAAGGGAGAUAUGUACAUGUGGGUUUAUUCAAAACAACUCAAUCUUGGGAAUCACACCUUCCAAGAGAGAUUUAUAUAUAGUGGGUACAAAAUAACCCAAAACCGUUUCAAUUUGGACUUGUGAUCAAUAGCCUCUAAGUUGGCUCUUGACGGGUUUUACCUCGUCUAAUGACUCUACGAGCUUCAGGCUCGGAGUUGUUUUCAGAUAUUUGGCCUUUAAAUCGGCUUUUGACGGAUAUUAUCACGUCUUGACUCAACGAGCUUCAGGCUCAGAGUUUAUAUCUUGUGAUUUAGCCUCUAAAUCGGCUUUCUUUUCUCAACGAGCUUAGACUCGGAUCGAUAUUAAAGAUUUAGCCUUUAAAUCGGCUUUCUUUUCUCAACGAGCUCAGACUCGGAGUUAUAUUAACGAUUUAGCCUCUAAAUCGGCUUUCUUGGCUCAACGAGUUUAGACUCGGAGCUAAAUUUCAUUUACUUGACGGAAAUUCCAACGUCUUGACUCAACGAGUUUUUCUGCUCGGAGUUAUAAUAAGACCUCAAUACGGUCUAUGUUAAGCUCUACGGGUACUAUGCCCAGAGUUAAAACGAUAGCCUCUAAAUCAGCUUUAAACGGAGAUUAUUAUUUCUCCAACUCCACGAGCAUCAGGCUCGGAGUUUAUAUCUUGGCCUCUAAGUCGGCCCACAGAUCUGUUGAUAUAUAGCACGUUCUUAUAACACUGCUUGGGAUCCACAAGCUUGCAAAUAUAAAUUUCAGCAGUAAUUCAACAAAUAAAUAAGCAAUAGAUUAAUAUACACGAAUCCAUCAUAUCCUUUGAGAAAUGAUAGCGUAUAAAAUACCGAAGUAUUCGCUAAUCGUUCUCGUUUGUCUUUUCGACAAUAGAUUGAGGAUCUGGAUUUUCGUAAAAUAAAAUAGAAAGAAGAAUACGAAAAUAGCAAAUCCCUAUCGAGCAAAAUCUCGUGCUGAUAACGUGUUGUAGAAUAAAUUAUAUAAUAUAAGAACUGCACUAUUAUAAUAUAGGGGUCAUUAGCAAUACACCCCUCAUUUAGAUAAAAACUAGUGAUAUGUCCAUACCAUAAUUCUUUCUUUGUGAAAACCCCCUAUAAUAUUUAUUUCCAAUCUUACCCCUCUAGUAGUGUAUCACGUUUUUUUUUUAUAAUUAUCCAAGUAAUUUCGAAAUCCCUAUUAAUGAGGCACCUAAUCCCACUACUUAGGCUUAAUUAUAUAUUUUUCCUAAUUUAUCUCAAUUAUUCCUUUUUUCUCUCUUUCCAUAACAAUUUAAUUCCCAAAAAUUUGCUUCCAAAUUCCUAAAAAAUUGCUACGAAAUCAAAAAAAUAAAAUAAUCGGAUUUUAUUAUUUUUAUUUUUUAUUUUAAUAUUAUUUUGGGACUUUAUUUAGUCAUUUUAAAUUUAUUUUUAAUUUUAAUAUUUUUUAAUAAAAAUAUUAUUUUAAAUUUUUAAAACUUUUUUUAAACAAAAAAUCGAAAAUUUUCUCUCAACAGGUUUGCAACGCCGAAUAUGACUAUGGUUGAAUAUGACUAUAUGUGACUAUAAACUGUAGUCAUAUUCUUUCGUUAUAUUGUUGUUUUUUAUAUUUUGAACUUAAAAGUUCCGAUUAUAUGGCAUAGUCAUGUUAACCAAAUCAUAUAAGUAACCAAAUCAUAUAAAACAACGAAGAUUCCCUAUUAUUUACGAAAACAACUCAAUCAACAUCCACACAAAAAAUCACAAUUUGAAUCUUGUGAUUAUAAGUCAACUUGAAAACGAGAAGAUAGAACAUAUUCAACAAUAGUCGUAUUCGAAUAUGACUACACUCAUAUUCGAAAAAAACAUAAAUAUGACUAUAGUCAUAUUCGAAUAUCACUAUAGUCAUGUUACUACUGCUGUUCAGAUUUGGAAAAAAAAAAUCGAAAAACAUAAAUAAAGAUAGAAAAAUAACGAGAGAGAGGGACAGGAGUCGACGAGGUCUUCAUCCCCAAAAUCACCCUGGCAUAUCUUCACCCCAAACGACCCUCCAUACUUCAACACAAUCAUCAAGGUUGACGACAUGAUGUGCAACACUACAAAAAAACAUGAGAAUGUGACUAUUGUGUGAAUAAUUCUGCUGAAUGAAUCUGCACUAUUCUGUAAAUGCAAUUCACAUAAUAUUACGUGAAUUCAGUUCAGCCACAACAAACACAUUGAAACUUACACUAACAUAUCAAGUAACAAAAAUAAAAAAAAAAUAAAAAAUUACAAUUCGAAUAACUACAUACAUAAAUACGAGUAUAGUCAUAUUCGAAUAUGACUAUAGUCAUGUUGCAGCAACUGCAUUCUCAUGCUCAAACUGCAUCUUUUCAAAAAACAAAUUGACUGAUUAACAACAAUUCGAAUAUCAAAAUCAAACACAAAUGAUCCUUACAAAUUUUAAAUGGAAAAUCUCUAAAAGUGAAGACAAAAAAUUUGAGAAUGUGACUACUAUGUGACUACGUCUGAUGAAUAAAUCUGCACUACUCUGUAAAUGCAAAUCACAUAAUAUUAUCUGAAUUCAAUUCGAUCACAACAAACACAUUGAAACUUACACUAACAUAUCAAGUAACGCAAAAAACAAAUUACAAUAAAUUACACUAGCAUAUCCAUUAACACAAAACGAACAAUUAAUUUACAGAGUAGUCACAACGUGACUCUGUGUAAAACGGAAUAAAAUUUUGAAUCAGUAACAAUCGUUUACACCAAUUAAGACGACCCAAAAAUAAACAAUAAAAUUCGGUUCUACAUACACACAUAUCUGAAUACACACUACAGCCCAACCCCCUUUACGAAAACCAACAAAAAUAAAGCAGCAUCUCUAACCUUCAAACGCAGUUUCCCAUUUACGAAAACCAACAAAAAUAAAUCAGAAUCUCUAACCUUCAAACGCAGUCUAACUCCGGCAACGAACAAAGAAUGGUUGAACGCCGAUGAAAUCUCUAUUCUCUCCUAAACUCGGCUGAACUCACGUAAUUAUAUCAAAGAGAAUCACGUCCGCCUAUAAUAAAGGGAAACGGUUAUAGAAAGAUAUCGUGAUUAAAUAUUUGAUUUAUUAUAAAAAACUAUUAAUAAGGGUACGUAUGUCUUAUUAUGUUUAAUUGAGGGGGUUUCACUAAUUAAGUUUGGGAUGUGGGUUUGUGCAAAAGUCUUAAAAGUCAAUUGGGUUUUACUCAUAAUAUUUUUCAUUUGAGGGGGGUAUUGCAUAUUUCCCCUAUAAUAUAUGGGAAGGGAAUAGUGAAUGACCGAGAAAUCUGCUAUUGAAAUGUAAAAUGGAAUUACAGAAUAUAAAUACGAGAGGUGAGAGAUUUCUUUUCUAAUCAAAGUUAUGUAUUCAAUUAGGCAAAAUGGCCCUAUUUAUACAAAAAUGGGAAAAGCCUUGUCAUGCUAAACUAUUAACACGUAGCAGACUUGCACUCCAAGUAGUAGCAAGCCUUAUCAAACAAUUACUAGAUAUAUAUUACAAAACUUAGUCACUAAGUAAUUAAAUAAUUAUUACAAUAAAUAUUACAUUUUAACCGGGUACAAGAAUAGGGAGGGUUUGUAUGUUCCGCCCCGCAAUAUAUAUAUAUAUAUAUAUAUAUAUAUAUAUAUAUAUAUAUAUAUAUAUAUAUAUAUAUAUAUAUAUAUAUAUAUAUAUAUUAAUUAGUUAUAAUUUUAAAAGAUAAAUAAUAAAAUAUUACUAACCCUAGCCCCUUAAAGUCUAUAUUUUUUUUUUAUUUAUGUUUAUAUUAAAUUUAAUUUGUACAUGAAAUUCACUUUAUUUUUGUUGUUGUAGGCUCGUCUUCACUAAUCGUAAUUGAUAAAGUGAUUUUUGAUGGUUAAGAUGAUAAUGGUCAUGAAAAUGAUGAUGGUGAUGAAGAUAUUUUGGUUGAUUAUUAGAAAUAAAGUAGUUUAGUUUUUCAAUUAGUUAUGUUAAAAUGUGAUGUGUAUUUUAGUUCAAAGAUGUUUAAUUUGUAGUGAUAAAUUAUAUGAGAUUUGAAGUAAAAUAUGCACUUUGUAGGUUUGUUUGUUGAGGUAAGUCAUUAUAUUAUAAGUAGCUUCGUUCAGAAUUUAGAAAAAAUAAAAAUGAAGAUUGCAUUUUUCGACUAAAAAGGAAAAUCGGGGAUUGUGUGGGGUGAUACCUGGGGGGAUUUUGCGGGGCGGGUUCGAGGAUACCCAACUCAUAAAAUCUGUGGAUUUUGACGGGACGAGGAUGAGAGAUUUCAAAGCGGGACGGGAUGAGGUUUACGAAACACGCUUCAUACCCAUCCAAUUGCCGUCCAUAUUGAUAAAUUUAAGGAGCCAAAUGAAUGUAUUUUCAGGGGAAUCACAUAAUAAGCCCAUGACCAUACGCAUAGAGCCCGUCUAGUCGCUAUUUAAGCUUAUUUUGAAUAUUUAAUAAGCUCUUACAUGUGAUAAAAUAUUUAAGAGCUGACGAGUUGUUAUAUCUAAUUUCUUAAAAGGAUUAUUUUGGAGACUCCUUCACAUUGAAAAUAUGUAUAACAAACCACCAUAGUGUUUACAUCCUAAUGCAAACCCCCUCCAUUUGAAUAAUAAUUUGGCAUACCGCCUCAAUAGAUUUGAAGUACCCAGAAUACCUUUUUAAAUCAGUUUUAAACCCUACCCAACUCAUAUCGGUCUCUAUCUUCCUCUCUUAACUCCCAGAUCCAAAUCCCCCCCCUCCCAAGGUCUCUAACCAGCGAUGUUGCUUCCCGAAGUCAUAACUCUCUCUCCGGUGGUCGGAAUUCAAUGAUUAACUACCCUUGAAUUCAUCUCACCGAGCUCUUUCUUUUGAUGGUGAUUUCAUUCAGUUUGGAGCGGUGAAUCAGUUUCUGAAUUUUUUUUUAGUCUAUGCGUAUUUCAACGACAGUGGGUCUUGUCGGAGGUGUAAUUGUGUUUCGCCAGUCGGAAUUUGACGGGCAACUCACCGUUGGAUUCCUCUCGCCGAGAUCUAUAUUUUGAUGGUAAUUUCUUUCAUUUUAAUACUGUCAGAUUCAUUUCUAUAAAUUUUUUCAUCUGUGAGCGCGGAACCUUCGGUGGUUAGCAGCGGCUAGGGUUUUGGUAGGAGGCAUUUGGGGGGAGGAGCAAGGUUGUAAAAAGCGGUAAUCGGGUCGGAGGCGGUUAGGGACCAACUCACGAUUAAUCGGUGCGGCGGUGAUUAAUCGGUGAUAAAUCGGAAAUAAAUUAGUUUUUAAAAUUUAAUAUAAUAUAUUUCUAGAUAUUAUUUCUAAAUACUCAAAACAUAGAUAAAAAUAUAUUUAAACAUAGUUAUAUCUCCAUCAUGUAUAUAUUCUAAUAAAAUAAUGGGGCUUUAAGAUAUAGGUCCCUGGUGACAAAACUUAUUAGAACUAAAUGACAAGUCAAACUAAACAUUUACUUCACAUCCUUUAUAAAUUUCAUCCAAAAAAUGCCCCUCAUACAUAAAAAAUAAAAUUUACACCAAGUAAUAUCUAAACUUUAUUUAUCAUUUUUAUUAUUUAUUUAAUAUUUUAUGUUUCGCAUCUAACAUUUUUGUUAUUAUUUUUUUUCGUAGAACAUGUUUUUUUUUCUGCAUUUUCGUAUUUUUCACAAUUAUAAUAAUAUAUUUUUUUCCUUUUUUUUUCUACAUAAUAUUGAAAAUUAUGAUGAAAUUUUUUUCGGCCAUAAUCAUCUACAUAAAAUCGUAAGAAAGCUGUAGUAGACAGUAGUCACGUAUAGACACCCAUAGAAAACUGUAGUAAUCCGUAGUCACGACAUCUGUAGACAUAAAAUCGAAAAAUUUUAGAUCUGCCCCACCAAACCAUAAAUACCCUCCACCAAACCCUAGAUCCACUAUGCCAACGUCACCCACACCGCUAAAAAUGCCACAAACCCAACCCACGCUGCCGUUGCCAUCCCCAACCCCCAACAUUGUUACGCCACCGGCACCAUCCACAAGUGCCGGCGCCCAACGAGUGUCGUCCUCAUGCCCAAGACGCGUCACCACCGACGCCUCCCCUCUAGAGCAGCCGUCGCUCGCCACCCCCCACAUGACGCCGCCGCCUUACAUUACUUUUUUUCAAAAAGGAAAAUAUUUAGUGAACACUGGUGUUUAUGGAUCAGAUCAAAAUUCUAGAUUCCUGUAAUCGGAUUACGGAUUACUGUAAUCUCAAUCAAUGCCCAACCAUAUAUAUAUUCGGUGUGUAUAUAUACAACAACUAAGGUGUGGAGAUUAUUUCAGAAAAUAUAACAACAAUCCGAUUAAAUAGAAAAUCAUGAAGAACUUGAAGAUUUUUCUGAUUACGCUGAUUUUAGCCCUAAUUUUCGGAUUUGGCUCUUACAAUUCGGAUGCCAGGUCUCUGCCACCAUCUCCCUUCAAACCAUGGAGUGGAGUGGUGAAGAGAGAGCUUGAGAUUGAGAGAAAUAACGAGAGAGAUGGAGAGAGCCAGAGAGCGAGACAGAGAAAGAGAAGAAUAAAAGAGAAAAAAAUAGAUCUGGGAAAUAAAUGUGAUUAUGUGGUUAUAAGUUUUAGGGUUAAGGGCAAGAUAGGGAUUAAAAAAAUUAAGGAUGUUGGUCAUAUAUUAUUUCAAACUAAGGAUUUAAUUAAAAAAAUGAAUUUAGAGUUGUUAUUUAGUUCAAAUUAGGUUUCAAACUAGGGGCUCCCUAAAAUAAUAAAAGUUUAAUAAUAAUAAGAUUAUAAUAUAUAAAUAUCCUUAUAAAAUAUAAAUAAAAAGACAUUUUUUUUUAAUUUACAUUUAUUCUUGAACAUUCCUAGUAUACAUCAUUAGUUCUUUAACAAUAACAGUUAACAUAAACAAAAUAAAACAUAAACUCAUAGUUUGUUUUAUAUAAUCCCAACUUUUAUUUUCAAUUAAAAACAAAAAAAAAAAACCCGGUUUUUGACCUAUUUUUGCCACCGAAGUUUGACACGCCAUAAAGGUUUUACCGCCUCAGACCGCCUCGAACCGCCUAAAAUCGUCUAAAACCGCCUCACAGGCAAAAAACGGAUUUUUCAAACCUUUACACUAAAAUCGUAAAGGUUUUUUACCGCCUCCGCCUCGGAGACCGAUUAAUCGGCCGCCUCGGCCGAUUUAGACACUGGCGAAGAGUCAUUGGCGGUUUGGUCUAAAAUUCGCUGCAUUUCGCAGCUAUAACCCCCCCUCUCUCUCUCUCUCUCUCUCUCUCUCUCUCUCUCUCUCUCUCUCUCUCUCUCUCUCUCUCUCUCUCUCUAUAUAUAUAUAUAUAUAUAUAUAUAUAUAUAUAUAUAUAUAUAUAUAUAUAUAUAUAUAUAUUAUAUAUAUAUAUAUAUAUAUAUAUAUAUAUAUAUAUAUGUAUAUCACUCGAUCUCUUAGUGUUUGUUGAUUUUUGAGUGUUUUGAUGUUUCUUCAUUUUUUGUUGAUUUGCACUAAAAUAUUUUUUUUUAUUUUGAUUUUGUAGUUGCAGCUUAAUGAAAGACAUCGAUCCUCUCAUUGAAGGUGUCAAAAUUUUUGGUUGAAGUUACAUAUGCUUCAAGUUAUAGUGUUCAACAGGCUGUAUACAUUAUGUAUACAUUACUGUACAUUACUAUACAUUACUAGUUAGAUAUAGUAACAUGUAGUUACAUACGCAUAAAUUCGUGUAUUUUCGAUUUGUAUUUUAUUGGUUGUGAGGUAAUUUAUAAUAAAAAUAUUAAAAUUUGUAAAUUUUUGUUGUUACGGUUUAUGAACUUCUUUUGUAUAAGCCAGUAUUCGUGUGUGUUUAUAAUUGAUCGACUAAAAAUAUGGGGUUAAAAUAAGAACAUAACUAUGAAUUACUAUAGUUUACUACAUCUAUAUGUAGUUACAUGAAGUUAUUUUCAGUAUAGUAAACAUAUUGAUUUUAAAAAAAUUAAAAAAUGAAAAAAAAUAAUAAAUUUUUUUUUUUUUAAUAAAAAGUAAUAAAAAAAAUAUAUAUAAAUUAAUUAAAAAGGUUUAAAAAAAUAAAAAUAAUAAUAAAUAAAUCAACGAAAAUGAUAAAUGCAGGACCAGAAAUGUUGAAUGUAGUUUGACCAAAAAUUGCUUAUAAGGAUAGUAUAGUACUUUCGCCUCUCAGGGGUAUGUCAAAUGAUGAUUUUGGCUUGGGUUUAUCCCUAGUGUAUUUGGUACCAAGGAGUGUAUAUAAAAUAUGGCAAUUUACAAAUAAACCCAUCAAUGUGUACUUAUUCAUAAAGCGAUUCAUACAAUAAACUCUUUUACAAAAAAGUCCACACAUGGUCUAGAUUUUUGUAAAAGACUAAAAUAGCCUCUCAUACUUUAAUAUCCUCCAAUUUCAUCCUUUAAUUUAAUCUAACCUCAAUCUGACCUCAAAUUUCACAAAUUAUUGAAUUUUGACCCACAACACAUUUUUAUGGGCAAUUUCGUCCGUCGCCGCCAUUGACCGCCGUUCUCCGGCGUUGACCUUUUUUUUCCUUCCUGAUUUUUCCGCCACCGGUUUCCGGCGUUGACUUUUUCGAUUUUUUUCUCUUUCUUUCUGUAACAUCUUUUUUUUCUUUCAUGUUUAAACAGUAAUAUUGUUGUGAUUGACAGUAAUAUUAAUUAUAUUACUGUUAAACACAGUAAAAUUAACUAUAUUACAGUUUAACACAUCAAUAUUGCUAUAUUAAUCUCUAGCACAAUAAUAUUAACAUAACAAAACUCAUUAUUAUUGUGUAAUAGAGUAAUAUUACAAUGUUGACCAUUCAACAAAUGUAAACAUAAUAAACAACCAAAAGAAUUAAUAUUAUUGUGAGACAGUAAUAUUACUAUGGCAACAGUAAUAUUAAGGUCAACCACAAUAAUAUUAUUACGUUAGUGCGUGAAUAACUCUAACAAAACAAAAAAACGAAACAAAAUAAUAAUAAUAUGGAUGUGGUUGAUAGUAAUAUUACCUAUAACAAUAGUAAUAUUACCGUUAACCACAAUAAUAUUAUUGUGUUUACAGUAAUAUUACAAUAAUAAACAGAAAUAUUAUUACAUUACUCUGUGAAUAAGUCAAACAAAACAAAAAAAACCCAAAAAAAAUAAUAAUGUUGUGUGGUUGACAAUAAUAUUAUUGUGUUUACAAUUAUUUUCCCGUCAACCACAGUACUAUAAUUACGUUGACUUGACAACAAAUCAAACAAAAUUAAAAAAAAUAACAAAAAAAAAUAAUAAUCAUAUUACGUUAAUUUACCGUCAACGGCAGUACGAUUACAUAAAGGUAUUGUCAAUAGCAGUACAAUUACGUUAAUGUACUGUCAGUGACAGUAUAAUUACGUUAAUUUACUAUCAGUGAUAAUUUACUGUCAGUGGCAGUAUAAUUACGUUAAUGACAGCACAAUUACGGUCAACGUUUAGCAGCGGACGUUAAAAAAAAAAUUGAUUUGUUUAGCGGCGGACGUUAAUUUUUUUUUUUUUUUUUGAAAAAGAAAAUGUCAAAAUUGAAUUUUUGUGGUCAAAAUUGAUUAAAUUGGGAUUACAAUUAGGAAUUAGGUAUAAAGGGUUGGGGGUAAUUUUGUCAUAUACAUGAAUUUCUCCUUUAUUUAUAAUAAAUAUUAAAGGGAUUGACUUAUUGGUGAAAUAAAUAUAGCCCAUAAACCUAGAAUAAUAAAGAUGCUUGAUUAGAAACUUAUGCACAAAAACACCUAUAAAAUAAGCCCUUUUUUAAAUUAAUUUAUGAGGUGUUUGGGUGUGUAUAUUAUAACUUACUUUUAGUAUUUGGAAAUAUAACUUCCUUUUAUCUUAGUAAUGAUAAAACAGUACAUAACAUUAUUUUAACUUUUUUGAACAUAUUUAUUUCGUUAUAAUUGUUUAGCUUAUAAUUUUACUCUAAUAUUUUUUUUUCUAAAAUAUUAUUUUAAUAUCUAUAAAUUACAUUAGUUUCAAUUAAGAAAAAUGAUUAUUUUGUAGAAUCCCCUCAUUUCCAAAUUAUAUAGAACUAACUACCAAGUGGAUUACAUUCUAGGGGAAAUCUCCCUCAUUUCGAAAAUAUUUUGACAUACCCCCUGGGCCACCCAGAAGUCCCUAUAAUACCCUUUUAAAAUAAAUUUUAAACCCUAGCCACUCAUAUUUUGGUCUCUCUCUUCCCCCAGAUUCAAAAUCUCGCCUCCACAAACGUGCGUGGUUAUUAGCGGUGCCUAGGGUUUUGGUAUGAGGCGAAGGGGGUGAGGAGUCACUGUCUGUUUGAUGUAAAUAUGUAGCAUUUCCCAGCAAUAACCUCUCUUUCUAUCUGUCGAUCUGUUAGUGUUUGUUGAUUUUCGAGUGUUUUUGAUGUUUCUUCAAAUUUUGUUGAUUUGCACUAAAGUAAUUUUGUUUUUAAUUUUGCAAUCGCAGCUUAAUGAAAGCCAUUGAUCCUCUCCUUGAACGUGUCAAAAAUUUGGUUGAAGUUACAUGUGAAGCAGUGUUUAACAAACUGUAUACAUUACUAUACAUUACUAUACAUAUAGCAACAUGUAGUUACAUAUGCAUAUAUUUGUGUAUUUUCGAUUUGUAUUUUAUUGGUUUUGAGGUGAUUUAUAAUAAAAAUAUUGAAAUUUGUAAAUUUUGUUGGGGUUUAUGAACUUCUUUUGUAUAAGCCAGUAUUCGUGUGAGUACUAUUGAUCGACUAAAAAUAUCGGGAAAAAAAAACGAACAUAACUACGAAUUACUAUAGGUACUAUAGGUACAUGUAGUUAUUUUCAGUAUAGUAAACAUAUUGUUUUGAAAAUUAAAAAUAAAUUAAAAAAUUAAAUAAAAAAUUAAUUUUUUUUUAUUUUUUAAAAAAAUUAAAAAAUUAAAAUAAAUCAAAAAAUAAAUAAAUAUAUAUAUAAAUUUAACAAACAUGUUUAUUAUUAUUUUAAAAAAAGAAAAAAAAAAGAAAAUAAUAAUAAAUAAAUCAGAGAAAAUGCUAAAUGCAGGACCAUAAAUACUGAAUGCAGUUUGGCCGAAAAUUGCAUAUAAGGGUUGUAUAGUACUUCCGCUUCUCUAGGGAUAGUUUAUUUAGUGGCUAGGAGGUAUGUAAAAUAACCCCUUAAGAAAAAUCAUAUAAAGUUCUAAUAAACUAAUAAUGAUUUCACUAACGUUCAUAUGAUAUUUGAUUUGUUUUUAUAUAAAUUUAAUUGUAAUAAAAUAUUUUAAAGAAGCAGGUUUACGAAAGUUCCAAUUUCUUUUACCUCAUUAACAUAUUAAUGUAGGAAAACAAUUUUAUUUUUGUCAAUAAAUAUAAUUAUUAUUCAGAUAAUAAGAAUGUUUUAUAUAAAUAUAUAUAGGGCAAAUGGCAACUAGGCCCAUGACAAGUGCACUUAAUUAAAAGAGGCACAUUCAAUUUUUUUGUCUUUCAAAUAAAUUCAGCUUAUUCAAACUUAUUUACAAAUAAGGAAAAUCCUUUUAUAUAUACCAAAAUUAUCCUCAAUUCAUUGAAACUCAAUUCAACUCCAAUUUCACGAUUUAAACCCCAAUUUAUGCUAAUUUCAUCAAUUAACCAAUUUUAGCCCUAAUUUCAAUUUUAACCCCAAUUUUGACCCGUCACCACCGGAGAGCGCCGGUCAGCCGCCGUUGACUGCCGGAGAUCGCCGGUCUCCGACGUUGACUUAUUUAUUUUGUUUUGAAAACCUUUUUUUUUGAAAUUUUUUUUUCCGGUAGGUCAACCGUCAUUGACCGCCGGGUCUCCGGCGUUGACUUUUUUUUUUUUUUUUAUAAUUUUGUUUUUUCUUAAAAAAAAUAUUUUAAUUAAUAUUACUGUCUUGGCUACUAAAUUAAUGUCUCCAACAGUUAUUUAACUGUCAUAGACAGUAAUUUAACUGUUAAUUGAAUUUUUUUUUCUUCAAAAAUAUUUUAUACUGUCUUGGCUGCUAAAUUACUGUCUCCAGCACUUAUUUAACUGUCGGAGACACUAACUUAACUGUUAAUUGACUUUUUUUUCCUUCAAAAAUAUUUUAAUUAAUAUUACUGUCUUGGCUGCUAAAUUACUGUCUCCGACAGUUAUUUAACUGUCGAAGACAGUAAUUUAACUGUUAAUUGACUUUUUUUUUUCUUAAAAAAAAUAUUUUAUCUGCCUUUGCUGCUAAAUUACUCUCUCCAGCAGUAAUUUAACUGUCUUAGACAGUAAUAUUAAUAAUAUUAUUGUUCGAGAAAAUAAUAUUCAUAAUAUUACUGUCCCAAACAGUAAUAUUAAUGUCUAAGACAGUAAUUUAGUAGCCAAGAAUGUAAUAUUAAUUAAAAUAUUUUUCUAAGAAAAAAAAAAUUCGGGAAAAAAAGUCAACGCCGGAGACCGGCGGGCAACAGUGGUUGACUGGCCGGAAAAAAAAUUUAGAAAAAAAAGUUUUCAAAAAAAAAAGAAGAACUUUUAAAUCCAGGGUCAACGCUGGAAUCUGGUCGAAAAAAAAAAUUCAGAAAAAAAAUUAUUUUCUGUAAAAAAGAAGAACUUUUAAAAAAUUAUUAUUUUGGGGGUUAAUGUGAUAUAUUUGUUUAAAUCCAUGGUCAAUGUGUAAUAUUAAGGAAGUUAGAACAUAAUGAAUGGAAUUGAUAAGAAUUAUAUUAUGGAGUGUAUUUUAGACUAAAGAUAUGGGGAUGAGAUUAUUUGAGAGACUAUUGUUUUUGUGUACUACAAGAAAAAUGAAUUUUAGUGACAACGCAUGUUGUCACAUUAGAUCAUUAAAUUGUCACAAAUGAAAUUUAGUGUCAAUAUAAUGUUGUCACUACGUUGUCACUAAUUCUGUGUCGCUAAUGCUUAUUGGUGAUAACUUACAAAAUAUUGUCACUUUAGAUUUUAGUUAAAAUGACAACAUUCAUGUUGUCACUUAAGCAAGAAGAGUGACAACUUGAAUGUUGUCACUAAUAAAAUGAACCUAGAGUGACAACUUCAAUGUUGUCACUAAUAAAAUAAAUCUAGAGUGACUCAUUCACUACAUUUUGUGAAGUAUAUUUGUACACAUUUAUGUUUGCCCUGAACACCAAAGAAUAAAAGAAAUCCAAUAUUAUAAAUAUAGAGACACUAUUUCAAUCAAAAUCUCCUCUACAAAUCAAGACAUAUAACAACAAAUAACAAAAAUAACAUUUACCAAAUAUUUUUUCCUGACAAUACGAUUUGUCGAAAGAAAGUCAUACAUUGUAAACUAGUCUGGUCAGUCGUAAACCUAACUAUAAUCAGACAAGAACUCCGUAAAAUGCAGCAACAAUACAAUCAAUAGCAUUUCUUUCUCUUCCAUGUUUCUUUUUAUCAAUUGAACCUGCUAUUUGCAAAUUAUAUAUUUACGCUCAAAUAUAUAAUAAAUGUAUUGUUUAAAGAAGAUUAAUUAAUAGAUCUCUCAUUUCAAUUAAUUAAUUUUUUGAUAAAAUAUAAUUAAGUACUUGUAAUUUUUUUUUUCUAUCAAAGUACUCAAACCUCAUUUUUUUUUUCGCCUUUAAGAAUGAGUUCGAUUAAGAAAGUAUCAUCAAUGACAAUAGUAUGUUAUCACUAAAAAAAAUAUGGUUUUGGUGACAAUAAAUAACUUGUCACUAAAGAAAAGUGGUCAUUGGUGACAAGUUAUAUUUUAUCACUAAAGAGAAGUUAUCAUUAAUGACAACUUAUAUGUUGUCAAUAAAAGAAAGUAUUAUUAGUGAUAAUAAGCAUGUUGUCAUUAAAGAUAAAUAACUAUUAGUGAUAAAAAUGUAUAUUUUGUCACUUAAUAUAGUUGUCUAAUGAUGAAAUUCAUCUUGUCACAUACUUUGUUGUCAGAAAUUAAUAUUUUUCUUGUAGUGGUGGACCAAUGUGCAUUUAAAUCUCAUGUAAUGGGCAUUUUUGCCAUUCGCCCUAAAAUAUAAUUACGGAGUAAUUUAUGUUAUAAUUAUUAUGAAAAUCCUUGUGAUUGUGUUUUAAAUAAUUACUAAUCUUGACUCAAAUUAUAUUCAUGUAAUAUAAUAAAAUAUUUGACAUAGUGUAUUUCAUUCAAAUUCGUACGUUUGACUCUAGUUUUGAAACUACUUGCCUUAAUAUAUAGGUGCAGAAGGAAUUGAUGGAUAAUCAAAAUUAGAGAUCAGAUAUUAUUACGCUAAUUUAUUGGAAGAAAUUCAUGAAUGGAAACAAAUAAAAUAAUAUUUUAGGGUUUGACUCGGAAACUUUAUUGGAGUAAUUGUCUUGUAAUCUCGUCCAAAUUAGAAAAUAUACAAUAUUUCCACAAUCUUCAAAUUCUUCUCACCAUCAACGUAUACAUAUACAUAUUUAUCUAUAUAUAUAUAGAUGCAUAUUCAAGAAUCAUUCCAUCAAAAUAUGAGUUUCAUCACUACUUCAUUUCUAGUUCUCAUCUGCAUACUACUCAAUUUUCAUCAAUUUCUCAAAGCAGAAAAGCUCGAUGUAUACAUCGUCCACGUCGAUCCUUCACAUUCCGACGAUCUCGACACGUUUUACGAUUCAUUCUUGCCGACGAUUACCAAUGUAGCUGCCGGCUCAACCAAUAGUACUACCGACCGGCCGAGAAUAUUGCACCGCUACCGCCAUGUGUUUUCCGGUUUCGCCGCCAAAUUAUCCGCAGCCGAUGUCGAAGCAAUGCGGCUUAAGAAGGGUUUCGUCUCGGCCCGGCCCGAAAGGGUGUUGCGUCUGCUCACCACGCGUUCUCCCAGUUUCUUGGGGUUGAACCAAAACACGGGCUUAUGGAAAAAGUCGAACUACGGCAAGGGCAUCAUCAUCGGCAUGGUGGAUAUCGGAGUCGAGCCCAGCCACCCGUCCUUCGGUGACGCGGGGAUGCCGCCGCCGCCUGCGAAAUGGAAGGGCGAAUGUCAGUUCCGCGCCGGCAAGGGGGCAUGCAACAACAAGCUGAUCGGAGCUAGAUUCCUCGUCCCUGAAAUUUCGCCACUGACCAACAAUUUAGGCCACGGCACACACACCUCCGGCACCGCCGCCGGAAACUUCGUCGCGGGCGCCGCAUUCUUCGGCAACGCCAACGGCACCGCCUCCGGAGUCGCGCCCCUAGCUCACCUGGCAGUGUACCAAGUGUGCAACGACAGCGGCUGCCCGGAUAGUGCCAUCGCCGCCGCCAUCGAUGCCGCCAUCGACGACGGCGUCGACAUACUCUCGAUUUCCCUCGGAGGGCAGGAUCACCCCCGCUUCGCCGACGAUGUUCUCGCGGUCGGCGCUUACAGGGCCAUGGAGAGGGGUAUUAUCGUCAGCGCGGCCGCCGGUAAUGCCGGCUCGUCCAGUAGUGUGACUAACGAGGCCCCGUGGUUUAUGACAGUCGGAGCCAGCACCACCGACCGGAGAAUAACCGUCACCGCGGUUCUCGGAAACGGCGAGCAAAUAGACGGAGAAACCGGCAAGGGUUUCCCCUCUAUCGAAAAGUUAGAACUUGUUUACCCUGGAGCUUGUUUUGGCCAGUUGGACCCCAAUAUUAGAGGAAAGAUAGUUGUGUGCGACAAUUUUCUAGUCGACGGAAUCGUGUCCGGAAAAGCGGUAAAAGCUUAUGGUGGGGCCGCUGUGAUUAUAUUAAACUCCAUAAAUCAAGGUGAAACCAUUUUCGAGACACCGAACGUUCUCCCAGCAAUGCAAGUCAGCUAUGUAGAUGGCCGCAAGAUAAUUGACUAUUCGGUUUCGACUCCAAAUGCCACGGCCGCAUUGCUGUUUAAAGGAGAUGUUAUAGGUAACAAUCAGGCUCCAGUUGUGGGUCAGUUUUCCUCAAGGGGUCCUAGUCAGGCCACUCCAGGUAUUUUGAAGCCGGAUAUUAUUGGUCCUGGAAUUAACAUUCUUGCAGCCUGGCCCAUUUCUGUCGAGAAUCAAACCAACACAAAGUCCACAUGGAACAUAAUCUCGGGUACGUCAAUGUCGUGCCCUCAUCUCAGUGGGGUCGCAGCAUUGCUCAAAAGCGCGCAUCCUGAUUGGUCGCCUGCGGCCAUCAAGUCAGCAAUCAUGACCACUGCGGAUCAAGUGAACAUCAAAGGCAAUCCUAUCGAGGACGAAAAGUUGCAUGCCGCCGAUGUCUUUGCUAUUGGUUCGGGCCAUGUUAACCCUACGCGGGCAAAUGAUCCGGGCUUGGUUUACGAUAUCUCGCCAGACGACUAUAUCCCUUACUUGUGUGGCUUGAACUACACGAACCAGGAAGUCGGCAUCAUUGUUGGGCGUAAGGUUGAUUGCGCGAAAGCUAACAGCUUUACCGAGGAUCGAUUGAAUUAUCCCUCGUUUUCGAUUGUACUAAAGGGAUCGACUAAUCAAAUUUAUACGGCUACGAGAACAUUAACAAACGUCGGUAAGCCAAAUUCAUCGUAUCGCGUUGAGAUUGGUUCGGCGGCUGACGGUGUUAUCGUGAAUGUGGAUCCCGAGGAACUCUUCUUUCAAAAUUUGGGCGAUAAACUGAGCUACCGUGUAAUCGUAAGCAGAAGUACCAGCACAAAGGUGACGAAUACUAUUACUCAAACUCAAAGUCAAGGAUUUAUUACGUGGACUUCUGCCGACUACUCUGUUAGAAGUCCCAUAGCAUUUGUAUUUUAAUUUCCAUUAUUUUUAAUUAUUAUUUUUUCGGAGAUGGAUGACAUUUUUCUUAAUAAAAAUCAAUAAGGAGUUCAACUUUUAUCUACUUUCUUUUUUUUUUUUUUUUUUUUUUUUUGAAUUGUUGAUACUCAGUCUUAACUCCAUACAAUAAGGGCUCUUUUGGUUUGGGUGCUUGGGCUGGAUGGGACAUUAAAUCUCACUUAAUAUGCAGUUUGGUUUGACUGUUGGGUCACCUCUUGAUAAAUGGUCCCAUGCUUUUUAUCAUCAAUUUGGUUGAUAAAUAGUCAGCCCAAAACCGGGUGGAUUAUCUAUCAUCUGCAUAUCCCGUUUUUCUUCUCGAUGUAAAAUUACGAGUGAGCCCCUCUUAAUUGUAACAAUUACCAAGAUAUCUUAUAUAAAUAGUUAAUUUCUCUCCCUCUCUCUCUCUCUCCAUUACAACAAAACCCUCGUCAAAAGCGGAAAACAAAAAAAAAUCGUUCCUCUUCUCUUAUGUGUAAAAGACACUUCGUCUUCUUCACCAUUAUCCCAAUUGAAGCACAAAAUUUUUGUUUCUGAGUUUUUUAGUUAAUUUAUGUAAUGUAUUUUUUUAUGCAAGGAAAACGACGAUCUGAAGACAUUAGGGCAAGUCUCCUUCGCUGUGUACGGCUUGGGAGGUAUUUGUUCGUCCUCGUUGUUUAAAAACAGCUUAUAACUUGUUAGAUUUGUGGUUCUUCAUCUAUAACUAGUUUCGGUAUAAUUUGUAAUCUUUUAGUUUAUGGUAAGAUGUGAGACGCCGUUGUAAGGAUUCUAACGAACCGAACACCCAAUUUGAGAUAAGGUUUGCUGUUAGAUAAAUCUAUUUGUUGUUGUUUGUCUUUUAAUUUUUUUUACUUUACCUUUGUUAAUGUGAAAUUUGUGUUAUAAUUGCGCUCGAUUCUUUCAAAUACAAAGGGGAUUUGAAUUAUUUUAGUUGGUCCUUUCUUUUUAUUAACCUGUUAAUUUUUGGUUCUUGUUCAAUAUGUGAUUUCUGAUUUGGUAUGUUGGUUCUGCAUUCGGUUCACAGUCGUAUAGCAUUUGUUAUGUACAUUAUUUUAGUUAUAUAUUGAAAUGUCAGGUUAUGGUUUAUGUCUCAUGUUCUGAAAAACAUGUGCAAUAUGUUUACUUGUUAAUGUCUUUUAAUUAUGCAAUUCAUAUUCAAAUAAUAAAAAAAAAAUUGGUGUGUUUGAUUUUGAACAUAUUUUAUAUAUUAAGUGCAUGUAAUUGAUAUGAUGAUACAUACAUAGAUGUGUGCAAGACAAAUUACGUUUGUUGUUGAAAAUGUAUACCAGUACGCAUUGGAGUCAAAAUUUUGAAAUAGCUUAAAUAUCUAGUUGUGUUUAUUGUAUUUGUCCAUAUAAAUUUCGUCUGCUUAAUGGUAGUGCGAAGUGAUUUUUUUUCCGGGGGUAAUGUCCUAUUAUUAGAAGAAAUGAGUUCCUUUUUUUUAAUUCUUUUUGCCAUUUUGUUACUGCAAAAUCAAAGUGUAUUUGUGCAUGUAUUAUUGUGGUUAAUUCUUCCAAAUCAUAUUCUUCUUUUCGUAGACAAUGGAUUGUUGAGAUUUCCAAUUUAUUUUAUUAACUUAAAGAUUUGUGUGGAACUUUGAUGAUUGCGAGAAGCAAACUCAGUUUACAUGUACAUAUUCAAUUGAAAUACAUAUAUGUAGUUGGUUAAACAGGUCGAUAGCAACCACAAAUUGAUUUGCCAAUAACUUGAUUAGUUAUCUGUUUAAUGGCAGUGUGAAGACCUCUUAAUUCUUUAGUUUGGUGGUCUAUGCAUUUACUUAAUAGUUUAUGGGUUUGAUGUACAUGUUUGUAGGAGACAAAACAAUAAAAGUGUUUUGUGGUGAAUUAAGUUUCGCUUUACGAAGAAUGCCGAUGGGCGAUUGAAGAGAAAGCCCUGUUGGUUAACUUCCGGGAGCUUAGAGGCUUAAAUACUAAGAAUUCUUUGCAAAUAGGUGAUGAUGAGGCUUAAAUACUAAGAAUUCUUUGCAAAUAGGUGAUGAUGAUGAUGAUGAUGAUGAUGAUCGUGAUAAUGUGACGUGGGCGAACAACAGACCACGAAAAAAUUUGACAACUCCGGAUUAUUGCAUCGUUUGAACUAUCUUCAUCGUCAAUUUCCAAAUAUUAUUGUCGAUAAUGUCAACAAUGGCAAUGCCAACGCCAAUGCUAGCGGCAAUGCGGAUGUUGAUGAUGAAGACAAAAGUAGUAAUGUUCGAGAGAUGUUCCAGUGUCCGAUGGAUCCAUUAUUUUGGAUUGGAGUGUUUAGAUGAAUUGUUACAUAUGUUUGUAGACUUCGUUAAUGUUUACGACUUGUACGUCGUCUUGAAAAUGCUAGGUAACGCCUUUGGGUAAGGGUUUCAUGAUUUUUGUUUUUUCGUAAUUUAAUUGUUAAGACGAUAUAUUUAUGACAAUUGUUAUUGUGUGCGUACAUGAAUAUGUCAAAACUUAAAAUGGCUGGCUCGGAUUUUGCAAAAUGAGGUUUUCAAUUGUUUUAUUCAAGAGAUGAUAAAUGGUUGAGUUGUUAAAAAAAAUUAAGAAGAGGAUGGUGGUGGUGAUAGGUGAAUUUAAGGGUAUUAUGGGCAUUUCACCUGUAAUCCCAUCUAAUGAAGUGAACAAAAUAAAAGAUUGUUAAUUAUUUGACUAUUAAUAUUUAAGUCAUCCCACAAACCAAAACAGGUAAUUAGUCUCACUCAGAGUCAUAUCAAUCCCAAUAUUAAUUGUCCCAUCCCAGCCUAUCCAUCCAAACCAUCGAACCAAAAAGGCCCUAAAGGGAUAAUUAGCAAGACCCCCAUCAUCUAGGUAAAUGAGUUAAGAAAACCCCCUCCCAAAAAUAAUUAGAGAAAACCCCCUUACCUAAUAUUCUACUUAAAUAUUAUUUAAUAAUUCUCAAACCACCCUUAUUACUCCUAAUUAUAACCCAUGCCGUUACAGACCCAGCCCCGACCUCCAACCCCUGCCGCCGUUGACGAAGCAACCUCCCCCACCGCCGCCGAUCAUAAACUCGACGCCGCCGAUGUCGUCUUCCGACGACGAGAGCCACGAUACAAAUUUCUACACUCCACAAGGCUCGUCUCUGAGCAACGGGUAUGCUACCGGCGGCGAUUUUGGGUGGAAGAUUGCGAUGGGUCUGCUACCGGCGGUGUAUGUGUGCGCGGAUGGUGAUGGUAAUGAUGGUUGUGGCGGCGAUUUUAAGUGGAGGAUUGCGAUGGCUCUGUCGGUGGCGGUGGUUUUGGGUGGAUGAUUGCGAUGGGUCUGCUGGCGGCGGCGGUUUUGGGUGGAAGAUUGCGAUGGGUCUGCUGACGGUGGCGUAUUUGUGUGUGGUAGUGAUGGUUAUGGCGGCGUUUUUUGGAUGUUGGGUUGGUGGGAGCUUGGCAGAAGAGCAUUAAGGCUUAAUCGACUAUGUUCAGUAGUCGAUUAAGGUUAACCGACUCUAGU
This 29925-nucleotide long non-coding RNA is filed under the name Erythranthe guttata (spotted monkey flower). RNAcentral's name for it is "long non-coding RNA (EGUT_LNC001651)". Lineage: Eukaryota; Viridiplantae; Streptophyta; Magnoliopsida; Lamiales; Phrymaceae. The record is from RNAcentral.